ACGGCUCAGUACACGUGGAUAACUUACCCUUAGGACUAGGAUAACUCUGGGAAACUGGAGAUAAUACUGGAUAUUAGGUGAUGCCUGCAAUGGUUUGCCUUUGAAAUGUUUUUUCGCCUAAGGAUAGAUCUGCGGCUGAUUAGGUCGUUGGUGGGGUAAUGGCCCACCAAGCCGAUGAUCGGUACGGGUUGUGAGAGCAAGAGCCCGGAGAUGGAACCUGAGACAAGGUUCCAGACCCUACGGGGUGCAGCAGGCGCGAAACCUUCGCAAUGUACGCAAGUGCGACGAGGGGAUCCCAAGUGUCAUUCUUAACGGGAUGGCUUUUCUUAAGUGUAAAGAGCUUUUGGAAUAAGAGCUGGGCAAGACCGGUGCCAGCAGCCGCGGUAAUAC
RNAcentral lists this ribosomal RNA (390 nucleotides) under uncultured archaeon. RNAcentral describes it as "bacterial SSU rRNA". It matches the Rfam family "Archaeal small subunit ribosomal RNA", at positions 85 to 476 of the family's 1478-position model. The record is from RNAcentral.